This 465-nucleotide ribosomal RNA is filed under the name uncultured bacterium. RNAcentral's name for it is "partial 16S ribosomal RNA". It matches the Rfam family "Bacterial small subunit ribosomal RNA", at positions 338 to 795 of the family's 1533-position model. The record is from RNAcentral.
CCUACGGGAGGCAGCAGUAGGGAAUUUUCCACAAUGGGCGAAAGCCUGAUGGAGCAACGCCGCGUGGGUGAAGAAGGUCUUCGGAUCGUAAAACCCUGUUGUUAGAGAAGAAAGUGCGUGAGAGUAACUGUUCACGUUUCGACGGUAUCUAACCAGAAAGCCACGGCUAACUACGUGCCAGCAGCCGCGGUAAUACGUAGGUGGCAAGCGUUAUCCGGAUUUAUUGGGCGUAAAGGGAACGCAGGCGGUCUUUUAAGUCUGAUGGGAAAGCCUUCGGCUUAACCGGAGUAGUGCAUUGGAAACUGGGAGACUUGAGUGCAGAAGAGGAGAGUGGAACUCCAUGUGUAGCGGUGAAAUGCGUAGAUAUAUGGAAGAACACCAGUGGCGAAAGCGGCUCUCUGGUCUGUAACUGACGCUGAGGUUCGAAAGCGUGGGUAGCAAACAGGAUUAGAUACCCGAGUAGUC